AACGAACGCUGGCGGCAUGCCUAACACAUGCAAGUCGAACGAGACCUUCGGGUCUAGGGGCGCACGGGUGCGUAACGCGGGGGAACCUGCCCUUAGGUUCGGAAUAACUCCCCGAAAGGGGUGCUAAUACCGGAGAAUGUCUUCGGACCAAAGAUUUAUCGCCUUUGGAUGGGCCCGCGUUGGAUUAGCUAGUUGGUAGGGUAAAAGCCUACCAAGGCCACGAUCCAUAGCUGGUCUGAGAGGAUGAUCAGCCACACUGGGACUGAGACCCGGCCCAGACUCCUACGGGAGGCAGCAGUGGGGAAUAUUGGACGAUGGGCGAAAGCCUGAUCCAGCAAUGCCGCGUGAGUGAUGAAGGCCUUAGGGUUGUAAAGCUCUUUUACCCGGGAUGAUAAUGACAGUACCGGGAGAAUAAGCUCCGGCUAACUCCGUG
RNAcentral lists this ribosomal RNA (433 nucleotides) under uncultured bacterium. Its description in RNAcentral is "partial 16S ribosomal RNA". It matches the Rfam family "Bacterial small subunit ribosomal RNA", at positions 29 to 507 of the family's 1533-position model. The record is from RNAcentral.